AAAAUGAAUUGCAGCAGA
RNAcentral lists this unclassified non-coding RNA (18 nucleotides) under Mus musculus (house mouse). RNAcentral's name for it is "oocyte_clustered_small_RNA9456". Lineage: Eukaryota; Metazoa; Chordata; Mammalia; Rodentia; Muridae. The record is from RNAcentral.